Molecule: long non-coding RNA, 307 nt
Organism: Mobula hypostoma (lesser devil ray)
Lineage: Eukaryota; Metazoa; Chordata; Chondrichthyes; Myliobatiformes; Myliobatidae
Exons: 3
Source: RefSeq, a predicted model, not a curated record
UUCUAGCGCUCUGCUGUCCCAGAGAGGCCUGAAAGCAUGAACUGCCUCGUGGAGGAGACCAGCACGGGAUCAUGAUUGAUUCCACUUUGAAGCAUUGAGGAAACGAAUGCAGAGGAGCUGAUGCACCGUUUCUCCAAAAGAUGAAGAAAUCCAGGCAAUUUUGAGAGAUAGUGGUCUUCUCCAGAUUAUGAUCCAUUACUCCCAUCCUCUCUUCAAAUCGUUGCUGUAUUGCUGAAUAUUUUCAAAGUGAAUCUUAAACUUGAAAAUUAAAACUUCAGAGAAACAAGUCUUUUUUCUACCAAUGGUA